RNAcentral lists this long non-coding RNA (305 nucleotides) under Elaeis guineensis (African oil palm). Its description in RNAcentral is "long non-coding RNA (EGUI_LNC057466)". The record is from RNAcentral. Lineage: Eukaryota; Viridiplantae; Streptophyta; Magnoliopsida; Arecales; Arecaceae.
AAUCUAAUUUAAUUUUUUAAUCAAAUUAGAAAUUAGGUUGACCCAAGUCCUAAUUGAACUAGGAUUAGUUUUUUCUUGCACUUGGCUUAUCCAAUAAAUCAAUUGAACUUGAUCCAAUCAACCCCAAACCAAAUCUAAUUAAAUCAUAUUCAAUUAGACUUAAUCUCAGUCCAUUGGUUUAAUCAAAUUAAGUCAAUUAGCAAUCAAAUUGCUAAUCGAUCCUCUUGCAACACUUGCACUAGGUUAAAUGUCAAUCGUGUUGAUCGUUUAACUCUAGAACGAUUCUUAAUCAUUGAUCAACCAUC